UAUUUAAUUUAUGAGUGCCCUCUUUGGGGUGU
RNAcentral lists this non-coding RNA (32 nucleotides) under Mus musculus (house mouse). The record is from RNAcentral. Lineage: Eukaryota; Metazoa; Chordata; Mammalia; Rodentia; Muridae.